This 442-nucleotide ribosomal RNA is filed under the name Pseudomonas putida. RNAcentral describes it as "bacterial SSU rRNA". It matches the Rfam family "Bacterial small subunit ribosomal RNA", at positions 39 to 468 of the family's 1533-position model. Lineage: Bacteria; Pseudomonadati; Pseudomonadota; Gammaproteobacteria; Pseudomonadales; Pseudomonadaceae. The record is from RNAcentral.
UGGGAUGGGCCCGGCAGCCUAACACAUGCAAGUCGAGCGGAUGAGAAGAGCUUGCUCUUCGAUUCAGCGGCGGACGGGUGAGUAAUGCCUAGGAAUCUGCCUGGUAGUGGGGGACAACGUUUCGAAAGGAACGCUAAUACCGCAUACGUCCUACGGGAGAAAGCAGGGGACCUUCGGGCCUUGCGCUAUCAGAUGAGCCUAGGUCGGAUUAGCUAGUUGGUGGGGUAAUGGCUCACCAAGGCGACGAUCCGUAACUGGUCUGAGAGGAUGAUCAGUCACACUGGAACUGAGACACGGUCCAGACUCCUACGGGAGGCAGCAGUGGGGAAUAUUGGACAAUGGGCGAAAGCCUGAUUCAGCCAUGCCGCGUGUGUGAAGAAGGUCUUCGGAUUGUAAAGCACUUUAAGUUGGGAGGAAGGGCAGUAAGCGAAUACCUUGCUGU